RNAcentral lists this ribosomal RNA (461 nucleotides) under uncultured bacterium. RNAcentral's name for it is "bacterial SSU rRNA". It matches the Rfam family "Bacterial small subunit ribosomal RNA", at positions 52 to 507 of the family's 1533-position model. The record is from RNAcentral.
UACAUGCAAGUCGUGGGGCAGCAUGAGUAGCAAUACUUGAUGGCGACCGGCAAACGGGUGAGGAACACGUACACAACCUUCCUUCAAGCGGGGAAUAGCCCAGAGAAAUUUGGAUUAAUACCCCAUAAUAUAUUUGAUAAGGCAUCUUAUUAAUAUUAAAGCUUCGGCACUUGAUGAUGGGUGUGCGGCUGAUUAGAUAGUUGGCGGGUAACGGCCCACCAAGUCUACGAUCAGUAGCUGAUGUGAGAGCCAUGAUCAGCCACACGGGCACUGAGACACGGGCCCGACUCCUACGGGAGGCAGCAGUAAGGAAUAUUGGACAAUGGACGAAAGUCUGAUCCAGCCAUGCCGCGUGAAGGAUUAAGGUCCUCUGGAUUGUAAACUUCUUUUAUAUGGGACGAAAAAAGGGCAUUCUUGUUCACUUGACGGUACCAUAUGAAUAAGCACCGGCUAACUCCGUG